AGCGAACGCUGGCGGCAGGCCUAACACAUGCAAGUCGAACGAACUCUUCGGAGUUAGUGGCGGACGGGUGAGUAACACGUGGGAACGUGCCUUUAGGUUCGGAAUAACUCAGGAAAACUUGUGCUAAUACCGAAUGUGCCCUUCGGGGGAAAGAUUUAUCGCCUUUAGAGCGGCCCGCGUCUGUUUAGCUAGUUGGUGAGGUAAAGGCUCACCAAGGCGACGAUCAGUAGCUGGUCUGAGAGGAUGAUCAGCCACAUUGGGACUGAGACACGGUCCAAACUCCUACGGGAGGCAGCAGUGGGGAAUCUUGCGCAAUGGGCGAAAGCCUGACGCAGCCAUGCCGCGUGAAUGAUGAAGGUCUUAGGAUUGUAAAAUUCUUUCACCGGAGACGAUAAUGACGGUACCCGGAGAAGAAGCCCCGGCUAACUUCGUG
This 433-nucleotide ribosomal RNA is filed under the name uncultured bacterium. RNAcentral's name for it is "partial 16S ribosomal RNA". It matches the Rfam family "Bacterial small subunit ribosomal RNA", at positions 29 to 507 of the family's 1533-position model. The record is from RNAcentral.